GGGGGCGCUUUUGGUCUCGACGGGUGAUUCGAGGCUGUGAGUGCGUGUCAAGGCGCUGGGAGCCUUGUAAAUCAAACCUGGAAACUUGAAGUUAAACGCGAACGACGCUAACUUCGCCUUGGCGGCCUAGAACCCGCCGAGUUCCGUCCCGUCAGGUCCGCAAGACGGGUAGCGGAAUCAUCCUCGCGGACUCGCCAAAGCGGUUGCGGCAACCGCAGCGGUUAAACCAUAGCCGAUCGCCGGAUGACGCCUGUCGGAUGGGCUAUCAGCCGGUCAAAAAAGACCAUUCGACUACACACGUAGACCUUGCAGUUUAGGACAUGCGGAAGGGGGUUCGAAUCCCCCCGCCUCCACCA
This 356-nucleotide transfer-messenger RNA is filed under the name Betaproteobacteria bacterium. It matches the Rfam family "transfer-messenger RNA". Rfam says of the family: Bacterial tmRNA, also known as 10Sa RNA or SsrA, is named for its dual tRNA and mRNA-like properties. Its role is to liberate the mRNA from a stalled ribosome. The record is from RNAcentral. Lineage: Bacteria; Pseudomonadati; Pseudomonadota; Betaproteobacteria.